This 419-nucleotide small RNA is filed under the name Pan troglodytes (chimpanzee). RNAcentral's name for it is "retained intron". The record is from RNAcentral. Lineage: Eukaryota; Metazoa; Chordata; Mammalia; Primates; Hominidae.
CGGCGCCCCCAGCGGACUCCCGGGACCGACGGAGGUCCUACCAGAUGCCUGUGCGGGAUGAGGAGUCGGAAUCCCAGAGAAAAGCUCGCUCCCGUCUCAUGCGCCAGUCUCGGAGGUCCACACAGGGUGUGACUCUGACAGACCUGAAGGAGGCAGAGAAGGCUGCAGGGAAGGCCCCAGAGUCAGAGAAGCCGGCGCAGAGCCUGGUGAGAGGGGUCAGCGAGGGCGCGUGGGGUGCUGCGGGAUGUCCUGGUUCCCUGACUCGCCUCCCCCUCCCGACAGGACCCUUCCCGAAGGCCCCGCGUCCCUGGAGUGGAGAACUCUGACAGCCCUGCCCAGAGAGAGGCUCCCGACGGGCAGGGUCCAGGACCGCAGGCGGCCAGGGAGCAUCGCAAGGUCGGAAAGGAGUGGAGGGGGCC